Arachis stenosperma is the source of this 2637-nucleotide long non-coding RNA. RefSeq lists it as uncharacterized. Lineage: Eukaryota; Viridiplantae; Streptophyta; Magnoliopsida; Fabales; Fabaceae. The record is from RefSeq and is a predicted model, not a curated record. The transcript is spliced from 7 exons.
CUUCUUCCUUCUCUUUUCCCACUUCCUCUUCUUCAUAUUACCCUCGUUUUGCUUCUACCGGAUUCCCUCUCCUCCAAUCAUUUGGACCGAAACCCAUCACACCCAUUUGCAAAAGAUCAAAUUUUUGCACCUUCAAAGGCUCAAACACUGUUCACCAAAUUAAGUGUAACUGUCAAGAUUAUCGAACUAACCAUGAAUGAGUUCCUUCUUUCUCACAUUCAUGGUCUAGUUCAAUAACCUUGACAGUAACACCUUCAAAGGCUCAAACACUCUGAGAAGAAGGAAAAGUUCGUACCUUGGAGCUACCAACAAAAAAAAAUGACCAUAGGUGGGGAUAGUUUGCUUCAGGUUGUUGAGGAAGAAGAAGAUUCUCCUCCUGAGUCUGCUUUGCUUGAUCCUGAGAACAAUUCUAGGCCAAGAAGAAUCGCACUUUUCGUUGGGCCUUCUCCAUUUGCCUACACUCAUAUGAAGAGGAAAUCAUCAAGAAUUGGAGAUCUGCUUUAAAGAAGGCAGCAAACUUUGGUGGAUUUCAUUAUACAUCCAAAUACCGAGAUGUUGGGACUUGGGACGACUUGAGGUCAAUGUCUUUCAGCUAACAAAUCCAUAGUCGGAAGUCUUUCAUGCUGAGCACACCAUAGGAAAAGGAGGACUUUUGUUGGAGCUUUAAUCUUCCAGGGAUUGAGCUUUAAGAGUUCCCUUGAGCAUUUUUGCUUAAAAGCCUUCCACAAAAGCUAUCCUGACAAGGGAUAUGAAAAGCUUCCCUUGCGCCAAAACUUCCCUCUGCGGUGCCCAUUUUACGAUUCUACCCUUCUCUCUUGCUGCACUUUCCACUUCUUCCAGAAUUGACUUGAUAGUUUAUGGUCUUAUCACCCAUAGAAACCUCUGUUCGUUGUUUGCUAAGCCGUAGGCCACUUCGAUUAGUUCCUUCUCGUCCCAGCUCGCUAUGCUUUCUAAACUGACGUACACAACUGAACGCGGCUGAACGAACAACUGAACGCGGCUGAACGAACAAGAGCUGCUUUCAGUUCUGUAUGCUAGUUUAGGAAGCAUAGCAAGUUGGGAAGAGAAGGAACUAAUCGAAGUAGCGUACGACUUAGCAAACAGCGAACAGAGGUUUCUAUGGGUGAUAAGACCAGAAACGAUCAAGUCAAUUCCGGAAGAAGUGAAAAGUGCGGCGAGAGAGAAGGGUAGAAUAGUAAAAUGGGCACCGCAGAAUAAGAUAUUAUAAUUUGCUUUUACUUUGAGGGCUAUAUUGUCACAAUUCAUUGAGUAACAAAUGCAAGGAUAUGAAUAAUUCCACAGGGCUGGAUUUCAGAAAUCUAACAUGAAAAGAUUGCCUCACCAUUGGCACCAGAGUUGGAUUCAGAAUAUUUAAUACCAAUACAGGAAGGCUUUUUCACCAAACAUGUGUUGGAGGUUUUAUUAUUGUUGAGAUAUUGUUCAGCUCAAGUCUUCUUGCUAUUGUUGGUGUUGGUGAUAAGACUCGUUCUCAUUUUACAAGACAAGGCAUAUACAUAUAUGAAUUAAAUAGUCUCACAGUCUUGGAGACUAUUGACACACUGCCAAACAUUGAUGAGGCUGGAAUUAAUACUGAUGAGAUUCCGUUCAAUUAGUAGAGUUUGUGAUAAGCACUACUUUUGUAAUGGGUGCAUGUCUAAUUUUUAUAAAUUGUGUUCUUGCAUAUAUAGCAUUGACAGUACUAAAAAUAACAGUGUAGAACCUCUCAUUUUGAUAUCUUGUAUUAUCCAUAUGGUUAUUUGGUAAAACUUUCUUCACAGAGCUUUGUGCAUUUUCCACUUCUUGGGAUUAUCCUGUUUGAAUAUAUGUAUCUUUUAAUUUGUUAAUGAUAUUCGUGGCAAAAAGAAGAUACCUUAUGUCUUUAAGAAGAUAUUUGUUAAUGGUAUUUGUUUUCUUUUUUGGUAUUGGAAAAGAAUCUUUAAGAUUUUGAAAUAUAGAAAGAACACGGAAAUUGUAACACACACAAUUGGAGUGGUUCAGAUGUCAGAGAGCAGAAGGAGCUUCAGUAACAGUUGAAAUAGAACAACUUUACUACCAGCUGUUGGGUUGACUCAGAAGAAGAAUGAAAGAAAGUUAGUUACUUCAUCAAAAGUUAUUAUUAAUUAACCCCUGUAUAUAUAUUAGGGACGAUGCAAGUGCCUGCGAUAUACAACAUUUAUGGUGGUGUUUUCAUUCCAUCCUUUAAAGUUCAACUCAACAGGGAAUUUGAAAAUGUGCAUGCAUUACUAAUUACUAGUACAUACCAGAUUUUUCAUGUAAAUAUCAGAAUAAGCUAUAUACUUAGUCCCAUAAAUGUAUGUAUUUGGGUUCCUGGUGAUUAGGAGCUGCUUCUGAAUAAAGUGUGCCUAAUUUCAUUUAUGAUGUUAUUGAAAUAUACUUAUUUAUUUGCUGAGGCAGCAAGGGGGAACACUGCAUUAGCUUUUCCAACAUUAGCAAAAGCUUCAUGGCUCUAAUUCCACCUUGUAGUACAAACUGAUGUACCUACAUUCACUUUUGUGUAUCUCAAUCUCUGUCUGAAUACUGGACAAUAAUGUGGAUGGAUAGUAUGAAAGGCAAUUCAGGAAUUCUUGCAUCUGAUAUCAUCCCCUAAGUAAACAGUAUAAGGGAAAUUCUGCUUUU